UACGAAGGGGGCUAGCGUUGCUCGGAAUCACUGGGCGUAAAGCGCACGUAGGCGGCUUCUUAAGUCUGGGGUGAAAUCCUGGAGCUCAACUCCAGAACUGCCUUUGAUACUGAGAAGCUUGAGUCCGGGAGAGGUGAGUGGAACUGCGAGUGUAGAGGUGAAAUUCGUAGAUAUUCGCAAGAACACCAGUGGCGAAGGCGGCUCACUGGCCCGGUACUGACGCUGAGGUGCGAAAGCGUGGGGAGCAAACAGG
This 253-nucleotide ribosomal RNA is filed under the name uncultured bacterium. RNAcentral describes it as "partial 16S ribosomal RNA". It matches the Rfam family "Bacterial small subunit ribosomal RNA", at positions 524 to 776 of the family's 1533-position model. The record is from RNAcentral.